Molecule: ribosomal RNA, 501 nt
Filed under: uncultured bacterium
Lineage: Bacteria
Description: partial 16S ribosomal RNA
Rfam family: Bacterial small subunit ribosomal RNA
Source: RNAcentral
AUUGAACGCUGGCGGCAGGCUUAACACAUGCAAGUCGAGCGGGGGAAGGUAGCUUGCUACCGGACCUAGCGGCGGACGGGUGAGUAAUGCUUAGGAAUCUGCCUAUUAGUGGGGGACAACAUCUCGAAAGGGAUGCUAAUACCGCAUACGUCCUACGGGAGAAAGCAGGGGAUCUUCGGACCUUGCGCUAAUAGAUGAGCCUAAGUCGGAUUAGCUAGUUGGUGGGGUAAGGGCCUACCAAGGCGACGAUCAGUAGCGGGUCUGAGUGGAUGGUCGGCCACACUGGGACUGAGAGACGGCCCAGACUCCUACGGGAGGCAGCAGUGGGGAAUAUUGGACAAUGGGGGGAACCCUGAUCCAGCCAUGCCGCGUGUGUGAAGAAGGCCUUAUGGUUGUAAAGCACUUUAAGCGAGGAGGAGGCUACUUUAGUUAAUACCUAGAGAUAGUGGACGUUACUCGCAGAAUAAGCACCGGCUAACUCUGUGCCAGCAGCCGCAGUAA